CCACGUCCCGACGCAAUCCCCCCCGGCGCCGGGACUCUCCCAGAGCCGGCCUCCGGCGCCUGUCCCCCCGGGCGCCGGAGCCGGCUCCUCC
Molecule: non-coding RNA, 91 nt
Filed under: Streptomyces longwoodensis
Lineage: Bacteria; Bacillati; Actinomycetota; Actinomycetes; Kitasatosporales; Streptomycetaceae
Description: Streptomyces RNA 3202
Rfam family: Streptomyces RNA 3202
About the family: Identified by deep sequencing of transcriptome at the end of exponential growth phase. Appears smaller on northern blot than sequencing transcript. This indicates processing step.
Source: Rfam by way of RNAcentral